AGUUCGUCGGCGGUCGGCCUCACCCUGCCAGCCUCCCUCUCAGUUCACCGGCGAAGGCGGAGUUACAGGUCGCCGCUUUCUCUUUCACACUCUCUCUUUUACUCUCUGCUCAACUCCCUCUCACGUCACGCACCGGUCGUCGUUGCGCCGCACCAUUGGCCGCCGCCAUAACAGCCACCUCUCGACGCACCGGUCGCCGGAUGUCGAUGUCCACCACAGUGCUCAGAAUCUAAAGUUAGCCAUUUUGUUAAAUAAAUUGUUAGAUUUAAGACUAUAUUUGAAACUUAUUGUUAGAUUUGUUGAUUUGGCAGCCAUUAAAUUGUUAGAUUUUGUUAGAAAAAUUGUUGAUUUCAGCCAUUUUUGAGAGAUUGAGUUUGUUAGAUUCAGUCAUUUGACUCAUAUCAGCCGUUAAAUUUGUUCAUUUCAGCCAUUGAUUUGGCAGCCAUUUUGUUAGAUUAGAUUAUGGUUUUUGAUUGAGUUUGUUUGAUUCAACCAUUUCAGAUUGGAUUUAUCGAAACUUGUUGAUUUUUUGAAUUUUUUUUAAAUUAAUUAAAAAAUAGUAGAUCCAUGGAUCUGGACCCGCGGACCCGCGGAUCUGACGGAUCUGGAUCCAAAAUUUUCAGAUCCGCGGAUCUGGAUCCGGAUCUGGAUCUGGUAUAUGCAAACGGAUCUGGAUCUGGUAUUGGCCAGACCCGGUCCAGAUCCGGCCCGUUGCCAUCCCUA
This 723-nucleotide long non-coding RNA is filed under the name Salvia miltiorrhiza (redroot sage). RNAcentral describes it as "long non-coding RNA (SMIL_LNC010191)". Lineage: Eukaryota; Viridiplantae; Streptophyta; Magnoliopsida; Lamiales; Lamiaceae. The record is from RNAcentral.